AGAGUUUGAUCCUGGCUCAGAUUGAACGCUGGCGGCAUGCCUUACACAUGCAAGUCGAACGGCAGCACGGGUGCUUGCACCUGGUGGCGAGUGGCGAACGGGUGAGUAAUAUAUCGGAACGUACCCUAGAGUGGGGGAUAACGUAGCGAAAGUUACGCUAAUACCGCAUACGAUCUACGGAUGAAAGUGGGGGAUCGCAAGACCUCAUGCUCAUGGAGCGGCCGAUAUCUGAUUAGCUAGUUGGUGAGGUAAAAGCUCACCGAGGCUUCGAUCAGUAGCUGGCCUGAGAGGACGACCAGCCACACUGGAACUGAGACACGGUCCAGACUCCUACGGGAGGCAGCAGUGGGGAAUUUUGGACAAUGGGCGCAAGCCUGAUCCAGCAAUGCCGCGUGAGUGAAGAAGGCCUUCGGGUUGUAAAGCUCUUUUGUCAGGGAAGAAACGGUUCUGGAUAUACCUGGGGCUAAUGACGGUACCUGAAGAAUAAGCACCGGCUAACUGCGUGCCAGCAGCCGCGGUAAUACGUAGGGUGCAAGCGUUAAUCGGAAUUACUGGGCGUAAAGCGUGCGCAGGCGGUUGUGCAAGACAGAUGUGAAAUCCCCGGGCUCAACCUGGGAAUUGCAUUUGUGACUGCACGGCUAGAGUGUGUCAGAGGGGGGUAGAAUUCCACGUGUAGCAGUGAAAUGCGUAGAGAUGUGGAGGAAUACCGAUGGCGAAGGCAGCCCCCUGGGAUAACACUGACGCUCAUGCACGAAAGCGUGGGGAGCAAACAGGAUUAGAUACCCUGGUAGUCCACGCCCUAAACGAUGUCUACUAGUUGUCGGGUCUUAGUUGACUUGGUAACGCAGCUAACGCGUGAAGUAGACCGCCUGGGGAGUACGGUCGCAAGAUUAAAACUCAAAGGAAUUGACGGGGACCCGCACAAGCGGUGGAUGAUGUGGAUUAAUUCGAUGCAACGCGAAAAACCUUACCUACCCUUGACAUGUCUGGAAUCCCUGAGAGAUUAGGGAGUGCUCGAAAGAGAAUCAGAACACAGGUGCUGCAUGGCUGUCGUCAGCUCGUGUCGUGAGAUGUUGGGUUAAGUCCCGCAACGAGCGCAACCCUUGUCAUUAGUUGCUACGAAAGGGCACUCUAAUGAGACUGCCGGUGACAAACCGGAGGAAGGUGGGGAUGACGUCAAGUCCUCAUGGCCCUUAUGGGUAGGGCUUCACACGUCAUACAAUGGUACAUACAGAGGGCCGCCAACCCGCGAGGGGGAGCUAAUCCCAGAAAGUGUAUCGUAGUCCGGAUUGGAGUCUGCAACUCGACUCCAUGAAGUUGGAAUCGCUAGUAAUCGCGGAUCAGAAUGUCGCGGUGAAUACGUUCCCGGGUCUUGUACACACCGCCCGUCACACCAUGGGAGCGGGUUUCACCAGAAGUGGGUAGCCUAACCGCAAGGAGGGCGCUCACCACGGUGGGAUACGUGACUGGGGUGAAGUCGUAACAAGGUA
This 1490-nucleotide ribosomal RNA is filed under the name metagenome. Its description in RNAcentral is "bacterial SSU rRNA". It matches the Rfam family "Bacterial small subunit ribosomal RNA". The record is from RNAcentral.